Molecule: ribosomal RNA, 465 nt
Filed under: Vreelandella stevensii
Lineage: Bacteria; Pseudomonadati; Pseudomonadota; Gammaproteobacteria; Oceanospirillales; Halomonadaceae
Description: partial 16S ribosomal RNA
Rfam family: Bacterial small subunit ribosomal RNA
Source: RNAcentral
CCUACGGGUGGCAGCAGUGGGGAAUAUUGGACAAUGGGCGAAAGCCUGAUCCAGCCAUGCCGCGUGUGUGAAGAAGGCCUUCGGGUUGUAAAGCACUUUCAGUGGGGAAGAAAGCCUUGGGGCUAAUACCCUCGAGGAAGGACAUCACCCACAGAAGAAGCACCGGCUAACUCCGUGCCAGCAGCCGUGGUAAUACGGAGGGUGCGAGCGUUAAUCGGAAUUACUGGGCGUAAAGCGCGCGUAGGCGGUCUGAUAAGCCGGUUGUGAAAGCCCCGGGCUCAACCUGGGAACGGCAUCCGGAACUGUCAGGCUAGAGUGCAGGAGAGGAAGGUAGAAUUCCCGGUGUAGCGGUGAAAUGCGUAGAGAUCGGGAGGAAUACCAGUGGCGAAGGCGGCCUUCUGGACUGACACUGACGCUGAGGUGCGAAAGCGUGGGUAGCAAACAGGAUUAGAUACCCGAGUAGUC